GCUUACGGCCACACCUCCCUGAUCACGCCCGAUCAUCGUCUGAUUCUCGGAAGCUAAGCAGGUUCGUGCCCGGUUAGUACUUGGAUGGGAGAACCGCCUGGGGAAUACCAGGUGGCUGUAAGCC
RNAcentral lists this ribosomal RNA (124 nucleotides) under Esox lucius (northern pike). Lineage: Eukaryota; Metazoa; Chordata; Actinopteri; Esociformes; Esocidae. The record is from RNAcentral.